RNAcentral lists this ribosomal RNA (497 nucleotides) under uncultured bacterium. RNAcentral describes it as "partial 16S ribosomal RNA". It matches the Rfam family "Bacterial small subunit ribosomal RNA", at positions 28 to 507 of the family's 1533-position model. The record is from RNAcentral.
GAUGAACGCUGGCGGCGUGCCUAAUACAUGCAAGUCGAGCGAACGGACGAGAAGCUUGCUUCUCUGAUGUUAGCGGCGGGCGGGUGAGUAACACGUGGCUAACCUACCUAUAAGACUGGGAUAACUUCGGGAAACCGGAGCUAAUACCGGAUAAUAUUUUGAACCGCAUGGUUCAAAAGUGAAAGACGGUCUUGCUGUCACUUAUAGAUGGAUCCGAGCUGCAUUAGCUAGUUGGUAAGGUAACGGCUUACCAAGGCAACGAUGCAUAGCCGACCUGAGAGGGUGAUCGGCCACACUGGAACUGAGACACGGUCCAGACUCCUACGGGAGGCAGCAGUAGGGAAUCUUCGGCAAUGGGCGAAAGCCUGACGGAGCAACGCCGCGUGAGUGAUGAAGGUCUUCGGAUCGUAAAGCUCUGUUAUUAGGGAAGAACAGAUGUGUAAGUAUCUGUGCACAUCUUGACGGUACCUAAUCAGAAAGCCACGGCUAACUACGUG